GAGGGAGAACAAAGACUUGGAGAUGAUCCAGAUCCUCCUCCCAUCAGGAGAAGAUGGAGUAGAGAGGAGCCUCCAUUCAUGGGAGGAGAGAGUCCUGGUCCAGCCCCCCCAGUGUCUCCUGCUGUGUCUGAGCUGAGGCUGGUGCUGCUGGGGGGGAGUGCAGCUGGGAAGAGGGCAGCAGGAAACACCAUCCUGGGCACACACACACUCACACACACAUCCACAGAGGCCCAGCACAGUGAGAGCAGACAGGGGGAGGUGGCCGGGAGA
Long non-coding RNA from Sardina pilchardus (European sardine), 270 nucleotides. RefSeq lists it as uncharacterized. The transcript has 3 exons. Lineage: Eukaryota; Metazoa; Chordata; Actinopteri; Clupeiformes; Clupeidae. The record is from RefSeq and is a predicted model, not a curated record.